GAAAUUCAAAUUAAGUGGCUUAUAUUAUGUUAUUUUUCUAUAAGUAUGUUUAUAUUUUAAAUGUACUUUAAUCUCUGUAUGCUUAAACACAAAUAGUAGGAAUAUACACCUAAGAAAUGUCAGAGUUUUCACAUCAGGACAUAUAUAAAAUUUCAUUGUGUUCUAAAGGACUGUGACAAUUCCGUUUAUGCAUAAAGAUGUACAUUUUUAGUGAAACUUUUGUGUCCUCAGAAUGUGUCCUAGGAGUGAAAUUAAGAUGUAGUAUACUGGAACCUUGCUAUAACUCUGCCUUUGGUGCAGUAGGAUUGUAUUAUAGGUAAACUACCUCAUGAUAAAGUCAUUUUAGUAUCUCAGUAAUGAAGUUUAAUAAAAACAUACACUCUCCAUCUCUCAAUACUGAAUUUUAUUCUUUAGUAAAAAUGUGGUGGUGUGGGCUGACAGUGGAAUCCCUGCAGUAUUAAUCCCAGCCAACUAAGAGCUGGGGAGUGGCAGAGAGAGGGAGAACUUGACAAUGACAACUGACGUGGAGAUCAACCAAGGGCAUUGAGGAUGUAUGGUGAUCCCAAGCCACUACCUGGGAAUCCUUACGAUAACUCACCAUCUGUUUAGCUUCUUGGGAAAAAAAAUGUAUAUAUAUUUUUGUAACUUUUAGCAAAAUAAUAGAUCAUUUCAUUCAAAUGUAUUUUCUAUUUUGCAGAAACACUAUAACAAUGGUGUGUGUUUUAUUAUAUAGUAUACACAGAGCCCUGAUGGUGCAGCAGUUAAGAGCUAUGGUGAGGAACGGCUGCUAACCAAGAGGUCAGCAGUUCCAGUCCACCAGCUGCUCCUUGGAAACCCUAUGGAGCAGUUCUACUCUGUCCUAUAGGGUCACUAUGAGUUGGAAUUGACUCCAUGGCAGUUGGUUUAUACUUUACACAGAGUGAUGAAAUGGGGCAAUGGAAGUCCUUGCGAAGUGUUUUAGAAAAGACCAGACAAAGAAGAAGGGGGGUAUUCCUUUGCCCUAUAAAUUAAGAAUCUAGGAGCUUUAAUUUUCUGAUAUUCAAUCUAGAAGCAACCGCUGGAGGUUUUUUUGCUGGGCCGUUUCACCCAGGAAGGACUAAACCAACAGCUAACAUAAGUGUAUGGAAUGUAAAUUAGUUAAGAGAAUGAAAUAAUUUGUUUCCUUUAAAAGUUGUAAAUCUGGUGACUGUUACAUUCGUAAUCAGACUCACUAUUUUCUAGCUAUAAUAUCCAACUUUUUUUUUACCUAAAUAUAGUAACUGCUUUAUUUUUCUAAAAUGUUUAAGUUUAACAAUGUUAAAAUAAUAAAACCAAGGUUUAAACUACAUUGGGUUUUAUAGGUUUUUAGACCUGCUGCUCUUUUGGUGAUUGCAGUUAAGAAGGUAAAGAGGGAGGGAAUUAUAUGAAGUAAGGAUAAUUUAGCAUAUUUUACCAUUUUGCCUGUUAGAAAAAUUUUAAAAACAAAAAUUUUUUAACUUUCUUACAUAGAAAAAAGCUGAGGCCCAAAAUUUUUUCAAGUCUUCAGCUACUUCAACAAGCAAAAACAUUUUGGUGUCUUCAAAAAUAAAAGAUGAAUAAUUGUGUGUUUAUAAAUAGAUAUAUAAAUAUAUCUUAGUAUAGGAACAAAUUGGGUUAUAUUUUUAUUACUGGGGAAUUUAAUUCAAUCCUUAAUAAACACAGUAGACAUUGCUAUCUAGAUUAUAAUUUUAGCUGCAUUUUAUGUAUGCGUAGAAUGUAUAGAAAGUCUCUUUCUUAUACUUGCUUUACAUUCUGUAGCCCAUCAACUGGAUAAUUCUCCCACUUCCUGUCCUUUUGCUGAUAAUUGUUUCUCUUUCCUUUUCUAACCCGCAUUCUAAUCCCCCCCCUCAAACUACUAAAGACUCAAAGCUUCUGGGGAGUUGAAAUUUGAGAGGGAGAUGGAGAAGUGUGUUUUGGUCUUCCAGUUUGGAGGUGUUUUCCUCUGGAAAAUCUUGAUCAUCUAGAUAUGAUGGUUAGGUUCUGUAUUACUAUUAGUCCUAUACCUAAGGUACAGAUGUCUGUAGUCUGGCCUAGGAGCCAAACCAGACUGUGUGAUGUUUUUAUGGGAAAGUGUGUUCCAAGUUCCAGACAAUCCUUUUAGAAACACCUAGUUGUUAAUUUUGAGAACCACUUAUGUGUAUUAUUUACCAAAAACCACUACAAAUAAUAUUAUUCAUUAUAAAAAUAUUAACCAUUUGUUAAAUUAUUAUAAAUUAGGGUAUGUUAUUUUAAAAUAUUUUAUGUUAUCUUGGAUAUGAAUUUAUAAACUGAAAAUUGUUUCCAAGAGUUCAAGGUAAAGACUAGGAAGGAGACAUCAAACAGAGCAAGUAAGUGCUGCUGAUGUUUUGAUAGUGUACAAUGCACACAAAAAGAAUCUUGUGUUAUCUGAUUGUUUUGUCUGUCCUCUUUAGAAGGAAUAUGACUAUAAAGUUUCUGAGAUCAUGAGAAUGAGAAACUUCAUGACCUCAUGAUGACCUAGGGUAGUUCUAUGAUAUAAUGUAGGCAAAACUACUUUUAACAUUCUAAAGUACUAUGUAAAUGGAAAGUUGUGUCGUUAAAUAUAAAAGACCUGCAGUGGAAAAGAAAACAUCAUAAAAGUGCUGAACAAGUACUUAGUUCCUCCAAAUUAUAGGUAAAGGAAACAAAAAGUAGAGAGCAAUUUUACCAAUACUUAGUGAGUGCUUCUUAUGAAGAACACGACAAAUGACUUUCCCAAAGAUAAAUAGAAUAUUAUUCUCAGAGGCAGGAUAAAAAUCACUCCCAAAUCCAGCUCUGUAAAUCAUAAAUGAAGUGACGAAUUUUAGAACCAUGGUCAUACUUGAGCCCUUUCAAAAUGAACUAUGUAAUUUGAAGUUUGGAUCAAAUUUUAAUAAAAAACAACACCUAACUUCAUUAAAAAAUUAGUUGUGUGAAAAAUAAACUUGGAUCUGGUCUUCAAAUAGUAUAACCAGUACAUUUUCAAUUUUGUAAUAUUUCAUAAAUUAUUAGUUUUUCUAGUAAAUCCAGACACUGAGACUAGAAAAUUGUCCUCAGACUUACUCGUAAAAUGACUCAUCAGAAUCAUUUCUUGUAUUUGUUGUUCUUCCCUUGAAACAGCUGUUUUUCUUGCCAACCUCGUUUACAUUUUUUCCGUUCUUAUCACUCCUUCAAAGACAGUGUCGUACAGCCAGUAUUAGUUGAUUCUUUUUAUUCUUGCUCUGUCUUUCAGUUUUUUUCUCUCGUAUCUUCACAGUGUCCCACCAUAAUUUAAUUUUUCUCUUUUAUUAAAAAACUUCAUUUUAGAUAUUUUUAUUUUGCUCAUUUUCUACUAUGUAUUUGAACAUAUAUAGUGACAUUCAUGUAUUUAUAUUUUAUAGAGAGAGAUUGAAGAAUUAUUUUCCUUUGACUAAUGCUAUAAUAAUGACUCAAAGUCAACAUUGUCCUUUUUCAAAGUUAAGUUUUAAGCUCAAAGCAGUGAUAAGCUGCCUUGUAUCUCAUAUUUUCUUUAACUUAACACAUCCUUAUAUAGCAUGGAAGUAUGUCCAGGCAUUGUUUUGAGUAAUAUCCAAAUAUUAAUUCAUUUAAUCCUCAAAACCAUCUUACAAGAUAGGUAGUAUAAUUAUCCUCAUUUUACAGGUGAGAAAACCGAGGUACAACUAGUAAGAGGCACAGCUGGGAAACAAACCCAGGUAAUCUGACUCAAGAGUUGGUUCUUUGGCCACUGAGUUCUGCUGCGUGCUUCUCAUACAGAGUUUUUUGUUUUAUUUUCCUUUUGAGAGAGUCUUCUGGUAUUUCUCUUUUGUAGAGUUAGGUACUCCCAAAUAAUGUACACAACAGAGACUAGCGGAAGGAAUCUACCCUUUUAUGAUGGUGGUAUUGGGGCUGCCCUGGGUUAGUGACUCACUCUAGCAAGCAGAGAAAACAUACUCAAACUGCUGGAGUGAGAGGUUCAGUUUGGGGGCUUUGGCGAGUGGGGCUGCCUAUGAUUCAUCUCUAUAUACUCCUACCAAAUGCAGAAAUUAUUGAACAGUAUCAGUUAUAUCACACACAAGUAAAAUUUUGCUGAAGAUCAUUCAAAAGCAGUUGCAGCAGUACAUUGACAGGGAACUGCCAGAAAUUGAAGCUGGAUUCAGAAGAGGACGUGGAACAAGGGAUCAGAUGGAUGUCAGAUGGAUCCUGGCUAAAAGCAGAGAAUACCACAAAGAUCUUUACCUAUGUUAUUUACUGACUAUGCAAAGGCAUUUGACUGUGUGGAUCAUACCAAAUUAUUGAUAACAUUGCAAGGAAUGGGAAUUCCAGAAAACUUAAUUGUGCUCAUGAGGAACCUGUACGUAGACCAAGAGGCAGUUGUUUGAAACUGUGUGGUUUAAAAUCAGGAAAGAUUUGCGUCAGGGUUGUAUCCUUUCAGGAUACUUACUCAAUCUGUAUGCCGUGCAAAUAAUCCAAGAAACUGGACUGUAUGAAGAAGAACGGGGCAUUAAGUUUGGAGGAGGACUCAUUAACAACCUGCGUUAUGCAGAUGACACAACCUUGCUUUCUGAAAGUGAAGCGGACUUGCAGCACUGAUGAAGAUCAGACUGUGGUCUUCAGUAUGAAUUACACUUCAGCAUAAAGUUCGUGUACAUGAACAUACACUUCAACUGUACCAAUAAGCAACGUGGUGAUAAACAGAGAAGAGAUUGAAGUUGUCAGGAUUUCAUUUUACUUGGAUCCACAAUCAAUACCCCAUGGAAGCAGCAGUCAAAAAAUCAAACCACACAUUGCAUUGGGCAGAUCUGCAAAAGGCCUCUUUAAAGUGUUGAAAAGCAAAGAUGUCACCUAGAAGACUGAGGUACACCUGACCCAAGCUGUGGUAUUUUCAGUUGCCUCAUAUGCAUACAAAGGCUGGGCAGUGAAUAAGGGAGACCCAAGAAGAAUUGAUGUCUUUGAAUUAUGGUGUUGGCAAAGAAUACUGAAUAUACCAUGGACUGCCAAAAGAACAAACAGAUCUAUCUUGGAAGAAGUACAGCCAGAAUGCUCCUUAGAAGCAAGGAUGGCGAGACUUCAUCUAACAUUUUUUAGACAUCUUAUCAGAAGGGACCAGUCCCUGGAAAAGGACAUCAUGCUUGGUAAAGUAGAGGGUCAGUGAAAAAGAGGAAGACCCUCAGUGAGAUGGAUUGACACAUUUUUGGCAACUAUGCUCAAGUAUAACAACAAUGAUGAAGAUGGCACAGGACGGGGCUGUGUUUCAUUCUCUCGUACAUAGGGUUGCUAUGAGUCGAAACCAACUCCACGGCACCUAACGAUAUCGCCCUACACCUAGCUCAGUGCUUGACUACAAUGGGCCCUUAGUAAAUAUUGAAAGGAAUCAACUAAUUCUAGUCCCGUUAGUGGAUUAUUUCACAUCACUGAGCCUCAGUAUCCCUUUCUAUAAAGCGGGGAUGAUAGUUCCAGUAAAGGAUUAAAUGAAUUAAUGUAUGUAAGUAGUCUUUGUAAAAUUAAAAGCACUAUUUGCAUGAAAAGGAUUAAAUAUUUAAAAGGCUAUUUUUCAAAUGAGCCUAAAUAUUAACACUUUAAUGACUAGUAGUUUAUAAGAGGAUAAGAGGAGCCCUGGUGGCAAAGUGGUUAAGAGCUCAGGCUGCUAACCAAAAGGUUGCUAUGAGUUGGAAUUGACUCCACAGCACAUGACAGUUUAUAAGAAGAUGUACUUUCCCCCAAGGUACACAUGUAUUUUUAUUUGUUUUUUGAAAAAUAUACAAUUAUUAUUUGGAAGGAUCCCUAGUUGUGCAGUGGUUAAAGCGCUCGGCUGCUAACUGAAAGGUCAGCAGUUCGAACCCAUCAGCUGCUCUGCAGGAGGAAGAUGUGGCAGCCUGCUUCUGUAAAGAUUUACAGCCUUGGAAACCCUAUGGGUCAGUUCUACUCUGUGCUAUAGGGUUGCUAUGAGUCGGUAUCGACUCCUUGGCAGGGGGUUUGGUUUUUUAUUAUUAUUAUUUAAAAUCGUUCUGAAUUGACCCUUGGGCAAAGAGAGUUGCUUAUCAUUGUUUAAAGUACAUUUAAAUUCUAGAGGUUUGAUUUUUAGGCUUCUGGCUCUACAGGACAUAAAGAUAGCAUCUGGAGUUCUAGGAGCUCUUUGAUGUUAUUACUCUUGUGCUCAGGUACCUUGUACUUUCAGUUUCUCUAAAAAGGUUUGAUUUUUGUUGUUAUGGAAGAGAGAGACUUGGAAAUAGAUACACCAGGAAGUUCUCUUUACUUGUCAAAAGAAACUGAGCGAAAGCACAGUUACACUUACCUCAUCAUCAAUGAGGAGAUGUUGGAGUUCUAGUUGCUAUAUAUAGUAACUUAUCUUGAAAUUCAAGCUACUAUUAUGAUGUUUUCCCUUUUGGCGCCAUUUAUUUUUAUAUUAUUGGAUAUUUUCUCAUCGUUGGCACUGCAUUAUUCUGGGAUACAUUCAAAUCUAAAACAUUCUAAUUACCCCCAUAGGAUAAAGUGUGUGAACCUAUUUGUCUAACUUACAAUGGGAAUGAUAGUUUUUACAUUUAAACUUGAUUUUUAAGUAAUGCCUGGCUUUUUUUUUUUCUUACUAGAAUUAUUUUUUAAAGGAGAUAUCAUCAACCCUUGUAUUUAUAUCUGAAGUAGAAUUCUGUCCAUUAUUUCUAGUUUUUCCUUCUUCAUGCACUUUAAUACCUCAAGUGGACACUGCCUUCAGGGGUACAUGGAAAGAUCUUUAUGCAGAUAAAUGUGCCCUAGGAAAUAGUGAUAAACUCAGUUUUCUUUACAUAUUUGUGCUUUCACAAUACUUCCGUAACACACUAGUAUGUUUGUCAUAUACCAAGGACAUAGUUACAUUUCUAUAGCUAGGUCUUCUAUUCAGUAAACUUACUGAAACUUACCUUGCUUUGUUCUAUUUUGUUGACUAUGUAAAAGUAGGACUGCAGUGGUAAGGAAAUUACGCAGGAAUCUUUUUGGAUUAUAAUGUGUAAAAGUCCUCCUUUGCUUCAUACAGGCACUUCCUACUUUUCAUUUGUUACUGGAUACUUUAAAGGACAUUCACCAUUUUGCAAUUCCUUAGCUACCAAAUCAGCUCUCAACUAUUAACGUAUCCCAUACUAUAUAUUCUAGUUCCGUGAUUUUUCCAGGGAUUUCAUUUUAAAAUACAUUUAAUGACUAUUCAAAAUGUAUGACCAAUGACAUCAGAACAUAGCAAUAACAAAAAUAAAGCUACCGCUUUUUAUUGAUUUAUUUAUAACAAAAUACAGCUUUUAUGGUACUCUGAUGGGAUGAAAACCUACAGCUCCUGACUCAGUUUUUUCCUGCCACCAGAGGGCUAGGUUUGACUGAGCAAAAACUGUAGUUUCCUUAGCUAUUAAUAUAAAAAUCAGUUGCCACUGAGUUGAUUCCUACUCACAGUAACCCCAUGUGAGUCAGAGUAGAAGUGUGCUCCUUAGGGUUUUCAAUGUGUAGCUAUAGAAAAAAGCCCCUGUUUUUUCCAGACUUUUAACAAAUCCUGCAGACUUCUCUGCAGUAUUUUGAUUUUUUGGAUUCAGCGUAUUUCCUAGAAUAUUUAUAUUUUCAAAUAUCCUAAGAAACCAAAUUCAAAUUCCAAAAUAUUUUAUAUUUGAAUUACCUUCAAAGGAUAACAUGUAAGAACCUGUUUGUCUAACCUGUAGUGGAAGUGAAAACAACUUGAAUUUGUGGCAGUGUUAGUAAUAGCUGGCUUUUUAAAUUAUUGGAAUUGUUAAAAAUGAUGUCAUUCAGAAAACAUCAACCCUUAUGUUUAAGUCUGACUGAAAUUCUGUCCUUUAUUACAAUUUUUAUGUGUAAAAUUUAAUACCUUAAAUUGCACACAACAUAAUGAGAAAUAUUUAUUUCUAUUCUAUCUUUAUGAACCUUUGACAUUUUAAAAAUCAACAGUGAAUAAUGCAAAAAUAGGGAAGCAUUUCAAUGAAUGUUUUUAAUCCUUAGGCUCAUUUACUUCAAAGAUUAAGGAAUAUGUGAUUUAGUAAUUUUAUUAGCAUAUUCAAAGUAAGAAAAAUGUGGCAUAAACAGGGAAAGUUGCCAUCAUCUAAUAAAGACACCCUUAAAAAUACUCAGUGAGUGGAGUUCCAGUAAAAUAAAAAUGUUGCGUUUCAGGAAGAAGGAAAAGCUGAGGGAAACAUUGUGGUAAAAAGCAUGUGCUUUGGAGUUUGAUUACCGGCUCUGUUACUUAUUACCAUCUUUGUGACCUUCAGCAACUUACUUAACAUUUUGGAGUUUUAGUGUCCUCAUUUUGUAAAGCACGUUAAUACCUCAUAAAAUUAUUGUUUGGAUUAAAUGAGAUGAUAUACGUAAAGCACCCACUACUGUAAAUAUUAUCCUCUGUUUAAUCCAAAGGUGUGAUGUUGUAAUUGAUUCUCAUUUGUUCAGAAGAGUCUCUCUCUGGAGAGAGAAGAUGCAACAUAUUAUUAGGACUGUGUCUGUAAGUAUAACUAUUCCAGGACAAAGAGUUCAGUGUUUUCAUGGUGUUGUAACUAUAAAUAGAAUGUUUGGAAAAUAUAUUUCUUUAGUUAUAAUAAUAGCAGCUAACAUUUAUUGAUUGCCUACUGUAUGCCAGCACUAUUCUAAGUGCUUUUGCAUAUUAACUCACUUAUGUCUCACCACAGCUAUAUUAUUAUCACAAUUUAAUAGGUUGUGGAAACUAAGGAACAAAGAUUAUAUAACUUUGCUAAAGUUUACACAGCUAUUAAACAGUGGAGCUGGGCUCCAAAACCAGGCAGUCUGGCUCCAGAAUCCACAUCCUUAGUUGCUUAUCUAAAUGGCUGAAAUAUUUUUUGCGUAUAUUUCCACAGGAGCAUUGUUUUCUAAAAUAAACAUGUAGGAACAUUUAGAGAGUAUUUUAUACUGGCUUUACUAAAAAUAAAAAUAAAAAUAAUUUUUUUUUUUUACCCUUAAAAACACACCCCUUCCAAAUGGUUAUUGUUAACGUGAUUGAAACAAUUAUUUUGGAAUUUCAAAUAGUUUCUGAUAGGAUAAACAGUUUCAGUAAGAAUAAACGUUUGGUUAGAAAGGUACCAAAAUGGUUAGGCGCUAAAGAAAUCACUUAGAAAAGUAGACGUGACCCUUUUAAAAUUACUUUUUUACUUUUUGUUUUCAAAUACCAAUAAAAUAUUUAUAAUAAACAGUAUAAAAAAUAUAAUUUUGUUAGGCCCACAAAGUCAGGCUUUUAGAAUUUUCUUUCCAGGUUGAAGGAGAAGAGUGCCUUGAACACUGUAGAGGUUUAUUUUGGCUGAUGACUGUUCUGUGUUUGAAUUUGCUCCAGCUGUGCUACAGUGCUGCUCUCCUUCUACCCACAUGGACGCCCUGAGUAGUUGUGUCACCCCCACUGCCUCUUCGUAUGCACACUGCAACUACUUCCAGCUCAGCCUGUUGAAAAUACAACAAUGCAGGAAUCUGCAGCCAACCAACAAGCUCAUGUCAAACUGAAGGAUCAGCUAAGUCAUAAUCCAUCUCCAUCUUCGGUAGUAUUUGUGCAAGAAGGGCUACCAUUCAGCACACACCAGGUAAGGGGGCAAAAAAAAAAAAAAACUAGUAAAGCUAAAAGUACCUAAUGCUUCUUGCUAAAGACUGUUCUAGUGGAGAGUUCAUCCAGAUUCGUUUGGGUUUAAUACUAGCUUGCUAUACUUUCCAGAAGAAUCAUACCCCAGUGGUUCUGCACAAAAGAUUUAGAAAGAAGGAAGUUACCUUACUCCCCAGGUAUCCUCUCUCUAUGUUACGGCCUGAAGUCAACCUCUAGAGAGUCAGUCUGAUGGACCAUUGUAGUAUAAAAUUUAUUUUCAUGUUAAAAGCAUCCCUUGAGUUCUGUUCUCUAUCUUAGUUUGGAUGGACUAAGUAUCCCUGGCUGAUAGAAUCCUACUACCCAGAAGGGGUGAUUUAUUUGACAGGUACUAUCAGGACCUUUUUAGCCAUUUGUGGCAUGAAGGUAAGGAGAUGGCUGGAGGGUUUUUUAUACUUUCUUACAGCAUCACUGAACUCUAAUAUGACUUGUGAGCCUACUGUGUUUGAAAUUUCCUUACCAAUAUCUGCAUUCCUAAAAUAGAACACUGACUAUAGUUUGAGGAGAAGGUAGAGAGUAAUUCCUCUAUUGCUGCUGGUUUGUGACCAGAAAAUUAUUUUUUCUAAAUUUUAUUUAUUUUGAUGUUAUUAUUGAGAAUAUAACAGCAAAACAUAUACCAAUUCAACAGUUUACACGUGUAUAAUUCAGUGACAUUGAUUCUUCCCUCAUUGAUAUAAAUUCAUUGCCCCCCAAGGUUCCUGUCUAAUCUUUUGAGUUGCUAUUGUUAAUUUGAUCCCAUAUUAGAUCUUAAAAGUAUAUAAUGCUCAAGGCAGACCUUUUUUACUAGUUAAGUUAAACUAUUAUCCAGUUGAAAAUUAAUCAGUUUUGAUUCAUCAAAAGUAUAUCCAAAUUAAAACCAUUUUUUGUGAAUUUAUCUGAUAAGUAUUUUUCCCUACUCUUAAUUUUUUUUUUUAAAUCUUAACCUGUUCUUUUUUGUUGUUGUUAACAGGACUGAAAAUCUCUUUUGUGUUUGAAAUUUCCAACAUAACUUUUAGGAGACUUCUUAGCUCUAAUUUUAGAUUCAAAUCUCUCAAGGCUUCUAUUUUUCAUUGUGCUUUUUGAGCCUUAGUAUUAAGACCCAGUAUUGUGUGUUAAGAUAAUGUUGUAAAUUCAGUAGACCAAAGAUAGUCCCAUUAUGUAGCAAAUACGCUGGUGUAAAGAACCCCAAAUUUGUCUUUGUUCCUUCAUAGUCACACUCCAGAAGCAUUAGAUUUAAUACUUUAAAAUUGCAUUUCUAUACAUGGUUAUUUUUUCUUUAAUAUUUUUUAAUAGUGCAGCUUUUGAAAGCUAUUUUUUUUUUUAACUUUUGGCUUCAUUUCAUUAUACAGUUUUAUUUUAAAAUAAAUUCCUAAAGAAAUAGAGCAUUCCUGAAGUUGGCCACCUUGACAUAGGGAUUUGACGUUGCAAAGAAAGCUCUUAAGAGCGUCAAGAAAGAAACUUAUAUAUCCUAAGCAGGGCAGAUCCAGAUUCUAUAGUGGCUGAAACACAUAAAAUUUUGAGGUCCUCUUUAAGACAAAGAGUGCAGAAUACGUAGAAUAAAGUGCCCAUGCCCCAUUGACACCAUCCAACAGGUAUAUGUAGAGCCAUUCCAAUACCACUAACAGAAGGGGAAAUCUGAUGGAGGGAUGUCAGAGUGGAGAUAGUGGUUAUAACCAAUUAUGAUCAAAAUAUCUUACUUUUGUAAAUUUUACAAAAACCAAACAACAAAAACAACCCACUAGCUUCAUGGUAAAUCUUCCUCUGAUCAUAAGAAAAUGUUUUAGACUCAUAUACAUUUCAGUGGUUUGUGUAUGGGGAAGUGUACAUUUUACUACCAAAUAUUUAGGUAACUCAAUAGAAUCAUAGGUAGUAUCAUUCAUAAGGAUGACAAGCCUUACAAGCAUGUUGUUGGACCAUGUUUCCAUAGUAGAACUUCUCUGAUGGAAUAUCUUAACUUUCAGUAGAUUAUUUUGGGGAAAUCUCAGAAUAAUGAGUGGGUUUAAUAUUUUAGGUGGAUACCAGUAUAAAAUGCCAGACCAAUCCGUCUGAGAAUAUCUUGCCUUCAGAACAGAUGGGAUUCCUUAUUUCAGAAAUGGGGUCUGCUAGCAAGCCUAGUAAAGACACAGGUUUAUCCACUCCAGCCAGAUACAGAGAGCGAAGAAGCAACUCACAGCAAGGAAAGUCCCCUGGUAAGGAUUAUAGUACAAUAGAAUGCUAGAAGUAGAACCAAGGUGUAGAAUUAAUGUAUGAAUGACAGUUUAUCCAGGUCUUCAUUUAUUAUUCAUAAUUGUGUUACACCUAUCACAUUGCUAUUUUACUUAACUGUAAUUUAACUCUAUACGUUUUCUUAAUUAUCCUUUAAAAAUUUUUCCCAUGUGGCAUGUAGAAUUUGAGCUUUCAAAAAUAACAAACUAAGAAAAAGCAAAGGAAUUGGGGUUACUUAACUUGGAGAAGGGAAAGAUAAAGGGUAAUUUAAUAAUUGCCUUCAGAUGCCCAAGACUUUGUAAUUAUAGAUAUACUUGUUCUCUUACCAACAUAGUGUAGAACAAGAGGGAAUGAGCUUAAAUCGUGACAGGAGAAAAUUAGGAUAGACAUUAAAGACAUUAUCCUGAGUACAUUAUGAAAACAAUGGAAAGUAUGACUGUAUAUCAAUGGGAUUGUUUUCUUAUGGUUUGUAGGAGCCAGAAGAAGUGAUUGUUUUAGGCAUAUACAAUUGGUUGUAAUCUUCUGAGGGAAAUUGGACAAAAUAAUAUUUUUUGAAGAAAACAGUGAUAUUUAAUAAAACAUGAUUCUUAUAUGAUCCAAAAAUAAAUCAUGAAAGUCUUCAGUGGAUAACUCUAAUAUCCUAAAGUUAUAUGUAUGUCAGUUGCAUGCAGUGUGGGCAGAAUUAAUCAGGCCAAACAACCAUUUUUUAAAAAAUAAUAUUUUAUUGUGUUUUUGGUGAAAGUUUACACAGCAAGUUAGAUUUCUGUUUGACAGUUUCCAUUCAAAGUGUUCAGUGACAUUACUUACAUUUUUCAUAGUGGGUCAGCAUUCUCUUUAGUUGUAUUCUGGUUGUUCCAUUUCCAGUACUAUAGUCUCCCUGCCCCCUUAUCUUCUCAUCUUUGCUUUAGAGUAAGUAUUGACCUUUUGGUCUCAUACAAAUGAUUUUUAAGUAGAGCAUAGAUCUUAUACAUAAUAUCCCUUAUUGUGUGUGCCACUCUUAUUUCACUUAAAGGGGUAGAUUUAGUUCAAGGUUCAGUGUGCCUGAGGGUGAUAGUCUCAGGGAGUCCUCUAGUCUCUACUAGUCCGGUUAGUCUGGCCUUUCUUUUUUAGAAUUUGAUUUUUGUUCUAUAUUUUUUUUCUCCCAUUCUCUCCGGGGCCCUCUGUUGUGACCCCACAGACAAUCAUAUUAAGCUCUAAAAUUUGGACUAUGUUGGGACCUUCUGUGAGAAUUUCUCCCCGGAAAAGUAAACUAAUAGUGACAUGAUCAAGAUGUUGCUUGGACUCAUAGGAUUCUUCCUGCCAAAUGCUUUUUAGACUAAAAACUAUAUUGGUCACUCAUCUCAUUCAUAAAGCUUGUGCAGUCACUUAUUAUUGAUUACAUGACCCAACACAUAAUCAAAAAUGAAGAUUUCUUAUCACUGAAGAUGUAUAAAACAAUGGCAUAGUUUGAAGGCAAUUUUAGAUGAGAGAAGGGCAAGAAUCAAUAUUUACUGUGUACUACUAUUAUGCCAUACAACAAACUUUUUAAAAUUUUUUAUUGUGCUUUUUUAAGUGAAAGUUUACAAACCAAGUCAGUCUCUCACACAAAAACUUACAUACACCCUGCUAUAUACUCCUAGUUGCUCUCCCUCUAAUGAGACAGCACACUCCUUCCCUUCACUUUCUAUUUUUGUGUCCAUUCGGCCAGCUUCUGACCCUCUCUGCCCUCUCAUCUCCUCUCCAGGCGGGAGCUGUCCACAUAGUCUCAUGUGUCUACUUGAUCCAAGAAGCUCACUCUUCACCAGUAUCAUUUUAUAUCCCAUAGUCCAGUCCAAUCCCUGUCUGAAGAGUACAACAAACUUUUGUUGAAAGUGAUGUCAUUACUUAAAGAUCAGGAAACACGCUUGGAGAAGAUAAGUAACAUGUUCAAGGUCAUGCAUUAAUGUAGCUGAGAUUUUACUGUAGGUUGUUUGAGCACCUGUUCUUUCCUUUUAAUUUUUAAUAUCACAAAUAAUAGACAAAUACAUUCGCCUUGUAAGAAGAACCAAUAAGGCCAGAAUUUCCUUGGACCACUACCUCUCUGUACUAUUCCCCUUACCUUUUCCCCAAAGAUAUCCACAUGUUCACUUUCCGUCAUGAUUUCAGCAAUGGCACAAUCAUUGGAAUAAGUAUAUAGCCUUUUAAGAUUACUUUGGAGGACAAAGUAUUAUAUAAGUUUGCAUAUAUUUGUUAAAUGAUUUUUAACAAAGUUAUUACUUUAAGGUUAAAUGUGGACAUACUGGACAAUUGAACUAAUAAACAAAAGACACUAUAAAGAAAUUUAAAGGAUUUUAAGUACAGUACAUUCAAGGAUACAGAGAGAAAUAAAAUGAUUUCAUGAGUGUAUGCAAAGGGAGAGAGGAUUGGGGCUCAGAAACUCUUGGUUGUUAUGAGAUAGAGGUGAGGCAGAGGGCAGAAGGGUCAUAUACAGUACAGUUAACAUAUCCACCCACCCCUACCUUCCCCCUGCAAAAUGUUGGAAACUAGAAAUUGGAACUUCUUUAAAGGAAGAGAUUUGGGAUUUAGAAACACCUGAUUUAGCAGUGGCCAAAAUGGGGAACUAAAAAUGAAAAAAGUAACUAAAAGUCCAGCCCUUCUUUUCUCCUAUGUAUGCAGAAUACUCACUGGCAGCCAGGGGACUACAGAAGGUCAAAGAUAUUCUCCUUUGGAGAACUAAAGGGCCCCAGAGAAGACCUUUAUGUGUUAGCAUUUGGGAUUUCUCCAGAGAAAAUGGGUGGUGUACAACUAAUGGAUCAACAUCAGGCUAAGCCCACCACUUGGCAAGUCUUGUCCAUGUUACAGAGCUUCCACUCAGCUCUGUAAUGCCCCAUUCUUAAAUUUGGAAGAACAGCCAAAAAACAAACAGAAGAAAACCUAAAGGAAGCAGAGACUUGCUGUGAGAAAACAACUUCAGAACCAACCCUUCCAUUUAGUAUCCUCAGCUAUGAGAAGAUGUUGUAUCCAUAUAAAAGAACAAGAAGUUUUUUUUUAAAAAAGCAACAAUUACAGAAUAAGAAAGAGUGCUUAAAAGUUACAGAUUUCAUAGCAGGAAAAAAAAACAACAAAAUGGUAUGAAGUUAAAGUUGAGGAAUAUCCCACAAAUAGAAAAAAGGCAAAGAAAUAGAAAAUAGGAAAGAAAAAUAAAAUAAAGGGGUUUAACCCAGGACAUCCAAUACCUGACUAAAGAAAUAAUAGGGAAAAGGGAGAGGGGAGGUAAGAAAUUUUUAAAAAUGAGAAGGAAACUUCCACUUCUGGUAAUGGCAGGCUUGGUGACUGUGACCAGCACUCCCACUGAAAACACUCCCACUGAAAACAACAACAAAAACCCUGGAGAAACUAUAAAAAUAAUAGUCUUCAAAAGCUAGUAAGAUAGUGAAUUACUGGGUUGAGUGCCAGGAGAGAAUGGAAGUAUAGAGAAGAAAGCUCAGCACUUGAGGCUGUUUUGCCAUUGUGACAUUUGCACAGGCAGCUGAGAAGAUAAGCUGUUUUGUCAUACUUUGGAGGCAAAGGGAACAAAAUUCAGAGGCGGGGCCAUCCAAAGUUUAGGUUCUGAUUAAUUGGCUUCCUUUAUAUAUCUAGGAUGGAGCCCUGGUGGCACAGUGGUUUAAUCAGUCAGCUGCUAACUGAAAGGUCUACAGUUUGACCCCAGCAGUCAGUCUGAGGGAGAAAGAUGUGGCAGCCUGCUUCCAUAAAGAUCAUAGUUUUGGAAACCAUAUAGGGCAGUUACAUGAUGUCCUACAGGGUCACUUUGAGUCGAAAUUGACUUGAGGGAAGUGGGUUUUAUAUGUCAAGUACCUCAAAAAGCAGCAGCCCAGGAGUGAGGAUGAACCAUGUGCCUUAGUUAUCUAGUGCUGCUAUAACAGAAAUACCACAAGUGCAUGGUUUCAAGAAAUAGAUUUAUUUUCUCACAGUUUAGGAGGGUAGAAGUCCAAAUUAAGGGGGCUGGCUCUAGAGGAAGGUUUUUUUUUUUUUAAUUUUUACUGUGCUUUAAGUGAAAGCUUACAAAUCAAGUCAGUCUCUCAUACAAAAAUUUAUAUACACCUUGCUGUAUACUCCUGGUUGCUCUCUCCCUAAUGAGACAGCACACUUCUUCCCUCCACUCUCUAUUUUCAUGUCCAUUUGGCCAGCUUCUGACCCCCUCUGCCCUCCUGUCUCACCUCCAGACAGGAGAUACCCACAUAGUUUCAUGUGUCUACUUGAUCCAGGAAGCUCACUCUUCACUGGUAGUAUUAUUUUCUAUCCCAUAGUCCAGUCCAGUCCCUGUCUGAAGAGUUGGCUUUGGGAAUGGUUCCUGUCUUGGGCUAACAGAAGGUCUGGGGACCAUGACCUCCAGGGUCCUUCUAGUCUCAGACCAUUAAGUCUGGUCUUUUUACAGGAAUUUGGGGUCUGCAUUCCACUGCUCUCCUGUUCCCUUAGGGGUUCUCUGUUGUGUUCCUUGUCAGGGCAGUCAUCGAUUAUAGCUGGGCACCAUCUAGUUCUUCUGGUCUCAGGCUGAUGUAGUCUCUGGUUUAUGUGCCCCUUUCUGUCUCUUGGGCUCAUAAUUACCUUCUGUCUUUGAUGUUCUUCAUUCUCCUUUGGUCCAGGUGGGUUGAGACCAAUUGAUGGAUCUUAGAUGGCCUCUCGCUAGCAUUUAAGACCCCAGAUGCCACUCUUCAAAGUGACAUGCAGAGUGUUUUCUUAAUAGAUUUUAUUAUGCCAAUUAACUUAGAUGUCCCCUGAAACCAUGGCCCCCAAAUCCCCACUCCUGCUAUGCUGGCCUUGGAAGUGUUCAGUUUACUCAGGAAACUGCUUUGGUUUAGUCCAGUUGUGCUGACCUCUCCUGUAUUUUGUGUUGUCUUUCCCUUCACCUAAAAUAGUUCUUGUCUACUAUCCAAUUAGUGAAAACCCCUCUCUCUCCCUCCCCACUCUCGUAACCAUCAAAGAAUAUUUUCUUCUCUUUUUUUUUAUUUAAACUAUUUCUCAAGAUCUUAUAAUAGUGGUCUCAUACAAUAUUUAUCCUUUUGCAACUGACUAAUUUCAGCAUAAUGGGAAGGCUUUCUCUUUAUCUGUAGGCUUUGAAGGAAGGUCCUUGUUUCUUCAGCUUUUGCUCCGUUGUUCCUUGAAGAUCUCUGUGUGUCAUGGCAUCUGUCUUACCUCAUCUCUGUUUCCAUCACUGCUUUCUUGUCCUAAUUUGCUGUUUUUAUAUCUUGUGAAAGAUUGACUCAAAACACACCCCACACUAACCCUGCCUUGUUAACAUGACAAAGACUGCCAUCCACAAAUGGGAUUAUAAUCACAGAGGUUAGGAUUUACAACACAUAUUUUGGGGGGACACAGUUCAAUUCAUAACAUCAGGAUAAAACCAGCCCUUGUAUAGACAGCUGCCAGAAAAACCCCAAGCCCUGAAUUAGAUUAAUUGCUAAUGUCCCUAGAUGCCUGGUAGAGACAGAUCUUCUUUGAGGAGGAUAAUAUCAUACUAGCCCUCAAAUUAGUUUUGCCAGUAAUUUUUUAAGUACCUUUUCCCUCACAUAGUCAAAAUAACCAGUUACAUGAAAGAAGAAGCCACUAUUGAGCACUAGCACAAACAAGAGGACUGAAACAGGCUCAUGGAAACUCCAGAUACUGGAAUUACUGGAAUCCAACAACAAAACAACCUUGCUUACUAUUUCAAGGAGGUAAAGGCCGUGCUUGAAAAUUCUGGCGGGGAACUAGAAACUCGAAAAUACCACUAGCAGGUUUGGAAAAAAAACAAAUAGAAAUUCUAGAACUGGAAACCAAAUUAUUCCACCUGAAACUGGAUACAAGCCAAGAAUGCCCACUCUCACCACUUCUACUCAAUAUUGUAUUAGAAAUUCUAGCCAGAGCAAUAAGACAAGAAAAAGAAAAGGUAUCCAGAUUGGAAAAAAAGAAGUAAAAUAAUCUCUAUUUGCAGAUGACAUGAUGCUAUAUAUAGAAAAUCCCAAAGAGUUCACAAGAAAAAUUUUUAGAGCUAAUAGAAGAAUUUAGCAAAAUUGCAGGGUACAAGAUCACCAAACAAAAAUCAGUUGGGUUUCUAUACACCAGCGAUGAGACAUCUGAAAGGGAAAUUAAGGAAACAGUUCCAUUUACAAUAGCAUUUAGGAGAAUGAAAUACCCAGGAAUAAAUUUAACCAGGUGUGCGAAGGACCAAUACAAUGAAAAUUAUAAAACACUGCUGAAAGAGAUUAAAGAAGACUUCAAUAAAUGGAAGGAUGUUCCAUGUUCAUGGAUUGGAAGACUUAAUAUUGUUAAGAUGUUGAUAGUACCCAAAGUGAUCUAUAGAUGCAAUGCAAUGCCAAUUAAAAUUAGAGAAAUGAAAAAAAACAUUUUCAACUUUUUAUGGAAUGGCAAGAGGCCCCAAGUAGCUAAAGAGAUGUUGAAAGACCAGAACAAAGUAGGAGAACUCAUACUUUGAUUUUAAAACACACAGCUACAUUAAUCAAAACAGCCUGGUACUGGUGUACCAAAACAAACAAACGAAAAAAAACCCAUUGCUGUCGAGUCGAUUCUGACUCAUAGAGACCCUAUAGGCCAGAGUAGAACUGCCCCCUAAAGUUUCCAAGGAGCGCCUGGUGGAUUUAAACUGCUGACCUUUUGGUCAGCAGCCAUCGCUCUUAACCAUUAUGCCACCAUGGUUUCCACUGGUAUACCAGUAGACACAUAAACCAAUGGAAUACAAUUGAGAGUCCAGAAAUAAACCCACACAUCUAUGGUCAGCUGAUUUUUGACAAAGGUGCUAAGCCUAUUUGAUAGGGGAAGAAGAGUCUCUUCAAUAAGUGGUGUUGGGAAAGUUGGAUUUCCACAUACAGAAAAAUGAAACAGGAUCCAUGCCGCACACCUUACACAAAAACAAAUUCAAAAUGGAUUAAGGACCUAAAUACAGAAACUAAAACCAUAAAAUUUUUAGAAGAAAAUGUUGGGACAAUGCUGUCAGGCCUAGCUUUUAACAAUGGAUUAAUAUAAUAAAAGCACAAACAGCAAAUGACAAAUAACUGGGACCUCAUAAAAAUUAAAAACUUUUGUUCAUCAAAAGACUGUAUCAAAAAAUGAAAAGACAAGCCACCAACUGGGAGAAUAUCUUCUAGAAACCGUAUGUCUGAUAAGAAUCUAAUAACCAAAAAAAUAUAUAAAACUUUGAAAACAACAAAAAGACAAAUAACCCAGUUAUAAAAUGGGCAAAAGACUUGAAUAGACAUUUCACCAAAAAAGACAUUCAAAUGGCCACCGAACACAUGAAAAGAUGCUCAACGUCCUUAGCCAUCAGAGGGUUGCAAAUCAAAACCACAGUGAGAUAUCAUUUUACUCCCACUAGGAUGGCUAAGAUAAAACCCCCCAAAAUAACAAAUGUUGGCUAGGAUGUGGGGAAAUUGAAACCUUUAUCCAUUGCUGGUGGGAAUGCAAAAUGGUACAGCCAUUGUGGAAAAGAGUGUGGUGGUUCCUCAGAAAACUAAAAGUAGAACUGCUAUAUGAACCAGCAAUUCUACUCCUAGGUAUACACCCAAAAGACUUGAAAGCAGAGGCUCAAACAGAUACUUGUACACCAGUGUUCAUUGCAGCACUGUUCACAGUAGCAAAAGGUAGACACUACAUAAAUGCCCAUCAAUGGAUGAAUGGAUGAACAGAAUGUGGUACCUACGUACAAUGGACUACUACUCAGCCAGUAAGAGAAAUGAAGUCUUAUUGUAUGGAGCGUGAAGAUAUUAUGCUGAGUGAAAUAAGUCCAUCAUGAAAAGGGUAAAUAUUGCAUGACCUCAUUGAUAUAAAAAGACAAGAAGAGGCAAAUGUAUAGAGACCAAAGUUUAUUAGUUGUUACCAGGGUAGGAGGGAGGGGAAAGCCUCUGCUGCUUAUGGAGUUCUGAGUUUCAGUUUACAGUAAUGGAAAAAUUGCAUUGAUUAACCUUAGGGUUAGACAGCCAAUUCUUGUAGCUGUCAAUAAGUUGACAUCUGUAAAAAAUUUAAUUGGCAUAAGUUGUGUAAUACAUGUAUUUAUAGCAUUGAAAAAAAAAAGAGUAGCUGCUGCGUCUGCUUAUGUACAACCAAACACCUCAUGGGAUUUGAUUCCUUGGUUUAGGGUCAUGGUUUCAUGGGACAUCCAGUUAAUUGGCCUAAUGACAUGUUUAGUGCUUCUGCUGUACCUCCUAGUUUGUUUUGUAGUGCUUGAGGUCUUAAAAGCUUGGGAGUGGCCAUUCAAGGUACAAUAAUUGGCCUCCAUUUGCCUGGAGGAACAGAGGAAGAAGGAGAGCAGGAAAUAGGAAGAGGAAAUGGAAUGUAUGGCUAAUUGCCUCCAUGAAUAACUGCCUCCUUUUCUAUGAGACCAGGAGAACUGGAUAGUGCCUGGCUACCAUUAGUGAACAUUUUGGUCAAAGAUUCCAUAGAAGAAUCCUGAUCAAAACGGGGAAAAUGUAGACAGAAUUUUAAAUUCUCAUGGAAUCCAUAGUUUCUGGAGCCAUGGAGGGUGAAUGAACCCUCAAAACUAUUGUCCUGAGAUAAACUUUAAACAUUAAACCAAAAGUACUCACUGAAGUCUUAAAACCAAACAAUAAAAAAAAAAAAAUUAAUAGCUUAGCUUAAUUAACAAAGAAUGUCUGCCUUGAGUAUUAUGCUCUUCUUAGGUCUAUCUAUAUGAAAUCAAAUUAACAACAGGAACUUGAAAGAUUAGAUAGGAACCUUUGGGGCCAGCGCGUUUAUGUCAGUAGAGGAGGAAAAACUCAGAAAAGGAGGGUGAGAAUGGUUGUACAACUCAAAGAAUAUAAUCAGUGUCACUGAAUUGUACAUGUAGAAACGUUGGUGUAUGUUUUGCUGUGUAUAUUCUCAAACUAAAAAUUAUUUAAAAACACACACACAAAAAGAAAAAUAACAAAAUAAACAAUUCAGUGGAUGGGUUUAUCAGCAGAUUAAACUAAGCUGAAGAGAAACAGAGUGAACAGGAAUGUAGAAGAAACUACCCAAAAGAGAGAAUAAAAGAUAUUAGAGGGUAAGAAAUAUAGAAGAUUCGUGGAGUAAGGGCUAAUGAAUCUGUAAUUGGAAUCCCAGAAGGAAAGGAGAGAGAGAAUAGGGCAGAGAUAUUACUGGAAGAGAUAAUGGCUGGAAAUUUUCCAGAAUGGAUACUCAAAUAAAUAAAACCAAAUCUACACCUAGACACAUCAUGGUGAAAUGGGAGAAAACCAAAGACAAAUACUUAAACAUAGGCAGAGAGAAAAAGAAAUAUUAAUUUCAAAGGAGCACCAGUUAGACUAGAUGUCAGCAAACUUUUUUGUAAAGGGCCAGAUAGUAAAUGUUUUAGGCUUUGUGGGCCAUAGGAUCUCUGUUGUAUUUUGCCUUGCCAUUGUAGCACAAAAGUAGCCAUAAACAAUAUAUGAAUAAAUGACCAUGACUGUGUUCCAAUAAAACUGUAUUUACAGAAACAGGUGGUAGGCCACAUUUGGGCCAGGGGUUAUAGUCUGCCAACCUUUAAGUUAGACUGCCAACUGAUUUCUGAACAGCAACCGUAGAAGCUAGAAAACAGUAGAAUUACAUUUUUGGUGUGCAGAAAGAAAACAGCAAUCCUAGAAUUCUCUGCCUAGCAAAAUGCUCCUUCAAGAUUGAAGGCAAAAUGAUAUUUUCAGAUAAAAACCAAGAGCAUAAACCGUAGCAGAUCAGCAGUAAAGGAAAUUCUAAAAGAUGUUCUUCAGGCAGAAAGAAAUUGAAGGUAAAGGUAUUGAUUAAUAUAGGCUUUGCUGAAUCAAGGAUGAACAUUGUAAUUUCUAGGGUAACCAUCAAAAGAAUAGAAGAGAGGACCUUGUAGGCUGGAGAGUAUGAGGGGAAUCCCAGAGUAGAGAGAGCUAAAGAAAAGGAUUCCUUAAUCCUGUAUAUGAAACUCGCACAAGUCACGAUCCUAGUCUUCAGUUAUUCAAACCAGCAUAAGAAAAGUUUUGAGAACUCAAGUAAAAUUUGAACCACUGUCUACAGAAGGCAAGAUGGAACUUGAGGGUGAAUCUAACAGACUGAUGGUCUGCUAAAACAAAAAUACCAACAUUCUCCAGAGGAUUCUAAGAAGACCCAGAACCUACACAAAAUAAUAUUUACAAUGUCUGGGAUACAAUAACUAUUACUUUAACUACAAGAACUAGGAACAUGUGACCAGUGCUCAAAGGAAAAGAGAAUCAACAGAUGCCAACCCCGAGAUGACCUAAAUACUGGAAUUAUCAGAUAAAAAUACUUUAAGGCACUUAUUUUAAUUGUGCUUCAUGAGAUAACGGAAAACACAUUUGUAAUGAAAGAGAAGAUAGGCGUGCUAAUCAGAUGAAUAGAAAUGACUUAAAAAAUAAAAACUUUAGAACUGAAAAAAUACAGUAUAAAAAAAAAAUCACUGGAUGAAUUCCAAUUAACAGAAUGGAUUUGCCAGAGGAAAGAGUCAGUAAACAUGAAGAUAAAUCAAUAAAAAUCAUCCCAUCUGAAGAGCAAAGAGAAAAAAGAUCAGAAAACAGUGAACAAAGUUUCAGGGACAUAUGGAACAGUGUUAAAAGGCUAACAUAUGUAUCAUUGGAACCCCAGAAGGAAAGUAGAGAUUGGUGCAGAAAAAAAUAUUUGAAAUAAAAAAAAGAGAAAAUAAGUAAUAAAAUGGUUGACCCAAAUUAAACUAAUUCAAAUAUAUCAGUGGUCUAAAAGCUCCAAUUAAAAGUCCAAGAUUGUCAGAGUGAAUAAAAAAGCAAGAUUCUACUAUAUGGUGCUUACAAGAGUCAUGUAGGUAGUGUGACUAUUUUAAUUGCAGAUAAAAUAGACUUUAUGACAAAAAAUAUUACCAGAGAUGAAGAAGGUCAUUUAAUAAUGAUAAAAGGAACAAUUCAUCAGGAAGACAUUUUAAUUAUAAGCAUGUAUGCAUGUUUUUUUUUUUUUUUUGCAUGUAGUAAUACAGCCUCAAAACACAAGAAGGAAAACUUGACAAAAAUUUAAUGGAGAAACAGACAAUUCCACAAUGAUAUUAGGAUAUUUCAACACCCUUCUUUAAGCAGUUGAUAGAAUAACUAGACAAAAAUAUCAGUAAAGACAUAGAAAAUCUGAGCAACGUAAUCAACUGCCUUAAUCUAAUUGCCAUUUAUAGAGCAUUACAUCCAACAACUGCAGAAUACACGGUAUUUUGACCAAGAUAGAUCAUAUACUGGACCAUAAAAUAAGUCCCAAUAAAUGUAAAAGGACCAAAAUCUUACAAAGUGUUACUCUCUGAUAACAACAGAAUUAAACUAGAAAUCAGUAACAAUAGUUAACUAGAAAAAACCCCAAAUAUCUGAAAAUUAUACAACACACUUGUAAAUAAUUCAUGAAUCAAAGACAAAAAUCACAAUGAAAAUUAGAAAAUAUUUUGAACUGAAUGACAUGAAAAUAAAACAUCAAAAUUUGUGGGAUACAACUAAAAUGGUGUUUAGAGGGAAACAGCUUUAAAUGCUAAUAUCAGAGAAGUAAUAUUUAAAAUCAAUGACUGAAAUCAGCAGACAGUAGAGAAAAUUAACAAAUGCAAAAACUGAUUCUUUGAAAAGAUAAAACUGACAAACCUCUAGCUAGACUGAUGAAGAAAAAAGAGAACUCAAUAGUAACUAUCAGGAAUGAAAAAGAGGUUAUAGCCUUAAAAUCUCUACAUAUCAAAAGGAUAAGAGAAUACUCUCGAGUAAUUUUAUGUUAAUAAACACAACAGCUUAAAUAAAAUGGGCACAUUUCUUGCAAAAAAAAAAAUUUUGCCAAAAUUCACACAAGAAUGGAAAACAGAAAUAGCCUCACAUCUACUGAAGAGAUGAAUUUGUUAUCAAAAACCUUGCCCAAAAGAAAACUCCAGGCCCAAAUGGUUUCACUGCUGAAUUCUAUUAAACAUUUAAGGAAAAAAAUAACACCAAUUUUACACAAACUUUCAGAAAAUAGUGGAGGAGGAAAUCACUGCCCAAUUCAUUUAAUGAGACCAGCAUAACCCUGAUACCAAAACCUUACAUAAGAAAGAAAACUGUAGAUCGUUAACCCUCAUGAAUAUAGAUGCAAAGGUUAUUAACAAAAUAUUAAAUCCAACUAUAUUUAAAAUAUUGAAUUCUACACUAUUUAAAAAGGAUAAUAUACCAGAACUAAGUAGACUUGCCUCAGGAGUGCAAGGUUUGAUUGAUUUUUAAAUGUGAAAUAAUGUUAUUCACCAUAUAACCAGAAAAGGAGAAACUCUAUGACCAUUUCAACAGAUAAAAAAUUCAACACUCACUCAUGGUAGGGAAAAAAAA
Loxodonta africana (African savanna elephant) is the source of this 23994-nucleotide RNA transcript. It is a transcript of the gene named heat shock transcription factor 5, with no coding region annotated. The transcript has 2 exons. Lineage: Eukaryota; Metazoa; Chordata; Mammalia; Proboscidea; Elephantidae. The record is from RefSeq and is a predicted model, not a curated record.